UGGCACGUUCACGCAGAUGAACAGGGAUCCCAGGCAUCUUUCUUUUGGUGUUUUUCAGAGUCAGUAGAAAGGCCUUUUGAGUGUCUAGGUUUUCUUAACGGUGACCUUAAUUGCCAUCUGUCUAAGCUGUUAGUGUCUUAACGACUGUUCCACAGGUGCAUGUUCAUUCAUUGUUUAUGGCUCAUUGAACAAGCAUGGGAAAUAGUGUUAAUUAACCCUUUACAGUGAAGUUAUUUGGAUUUUUUACGAAUUAUCUUUGAAAUACAGGGUGUGAAAGGGACGUUUCAUUUUUUGCUGAGUUUAUUUACUAAAUGGACAUUUUUUAAAGUUAAGACUCAUAACUCCACCCGAGGAGGACGCUAAACGUAAGGAUAUCUGGUUAGCUACUAGGGCAAGAGUGCUGGAACACGAGAGCAGAGAAUGGCUCCGCUUCACCAUGGGGAUGAAUUACUUCUGACAUGAUUAGGUGGUACCAUUUAUUUACUGUCAAGUAAUUAUCAAAUUGAUCAGUCUUUUGAAUAUUCUUACAACAGCUUGUCUAACAUUUUAUUGUCUGAUUUGAGUGUCUUUUUUUACAGCUACAGACUUUUGAGGAGGUUGCUAAAGGACACCUUAUGGUUGUUUCUGCCUUGAGGUGGAGUGGAGGAAGCGGAGGUGGAUAGAGUUUGAAAUGUGGAAGGUUCAACACUGUAAAACUGGUUCAAUACUCACUGAAACAGAAAUAGUAACCAGUGAUGGUUGACUACAACAGUUUGAAUGAUGGAUGUUAUCUGACCAUUUGCAGGGAAGAGCUAUGGUUCCACUGAGGAAGCCAAACAUAAGGAGGUCUGGUUAGCUACUAGGACGAGAGUGAUGGAACACAACAAGCGGGCAGAGAAUGGCUCGGAGAGCUUCACCGUGGGGAUGAAUCAUGCUUCUGACAGGGUAUGAUCACGACUACUGGGAAGGUUACAAGAUGAAGGCAGACACAUCGAUGGCUCUGAACGAACUUUAACCCUCGCAAGGCUGCAGGCCC
Molecule: long non-coding RNA, 1015 nt
Organism: Oncorhynchus tshawytscha (Chinook salmon)
Lineage: Eukaryota; Metazoa; Chordata; Actinopteri; Salmoniformes; Salmonidae
Exons: 3
Source: RefSeq, a predicted model, not a curated record